UACAGAGGUCUCAAGCGUUGUUCGGAUUCAUUGGGCGUAAAGGGUGCGUAGGCGGCGCGGUAAGUCGGGUGUGAAAUCUCGGAGCUUAACUUCGAAACUGCAUUCGAUACUGCCGUGCUUGAGGACUGGAGAGGAGACUGGAAUUUACGGUGUAGCGGUGAAAUUCGUAGAUAUCGAGAGGAACACCGGUGGCGAAGGCGGCCAACUGGACGGAGACUGACGCUGAGACACGAAAGCGUGGGUAGCAAACAGG
RNAcentral lists this ribosomal RNA (253 nucleotides) under uncultured bacterium. RNAcentral describes it as "partial 16S ribosomal RNA". It matches the Rfam family "Bacterial small subunit ribosomal RNA", at positions 524 to 776 of the family's 1533-position model. The record is from RNAcentral.